GUAGGGAAUCUUGCGCAAUGGGCGAAAGCCUGACGCAGCAACUCCGCGUGCGGGAAGAAGGCCUUCGGGUUGUAAACCGCUUUUAGCAGGAACGAAAAUGACGGUACCUGCAGAAUAAGGUGCGGCCAACUACGUGCCAGCAGCCGCGGUGACACGUAGGCACCAAGCGUUGUCCGGAUUUAUUGGGCGUAAAGAGCUCGUAGGCGGCUCAGUUAGUCGGGUGUGAAAACUCAGGGCUUAACCCUGAGACGCCACUCGAUACUGCUGGGCUAGAAUUCGGUAGGGGAGUGGGGAAUUCCUGGUGUAGCGGUGAAAUGCGCAGAUAUCAGGAGGAACACCGGUGGCGAAGGCGCCACUCUGGGCCGACAUUGACGCUGAGGAGCGAAAGCGUGGGUAGCAAACAGGAUUAGAUACCCCGGUAGUCC
This 425-nucleotide ribosomal RNA is filed under the name uncultured bacterium. RNAcentral's name for it is "bacterial SSU rRNA". It matches the Rfam family "Bacterial small subunit ribosomal RNA", at positions 354 to 796 of the family's 1533-position model. The record is from RNAcentral.